UACGUAGGGGGCAAGCGUUGUCCGGAUUCAUUGGGCGUAAAGAGCUCGUAGGCGGCUUGGUAAGUCUGCUGUGAAAGUCCAGGGCUCAACCCUGGGAUGCCGGUGGAUACUGUCGAGCUCGAGUCCGGAAGAGGCGAGUGGAAUUCCUGGUGUAGCGGUGAAAUGCGCAGAUAUCAGGAGGAACACCUAUGGCGAAGGCAGCUCGCUGGGACGUGACUGACGCUGAGACGCGAAAGCGUGGGGAGCAAACAGG
Molecule: ribosomal RNA, 253 nt
Filed under: uncultured bacterium
Lineage: Bacteria
Description: partial 16S ribosomal RNA
Rfam family: Bacterial small subunit ribosomal RNA
Source: RNAcentral